UUGAUGAUUCCGGGAGAGACCGCCAGUCAGGAUGGCGGCGCCGAAGGGGAGAGAAACUCUCAGGCAGAAGGACCGGAAUCGGACG
This is a regulatory RNA element of 85 nucleotides. It matches the Rfam family "Glycine riboswitch aptamer". From Rfam's summary of the family: This family represents the bacterial glycine riboswitch. Glycine riboswitches usually consist of two metabolite-binding aptamers domains with similar structures in tandem. The record is from Rfam.